This 1638-nucleotide ribosomal RNA is filed under the name Triticum aestivum (bread wheat). RNAcentral's name for it is "partial small subunit ribosomal RNA". Lineage: Eukaryota; Viridiplantae; Streptophyta; Magnoliopsida; Poales; Poaceae. The record is from RNAcentral.
AUGAGCAUGGAACCAUCUUGGGUCGUAACUUGCGACUCGGGUUGGUCCAUGGAAGAAGCAGCAGCUGCGUGGAGUAGUGAGCAUAGGAUUAGCUUCCAAACAUCCCUGCCUAGCCAUAGUGAUAGCCAUAGCGGAGUGCAGCAGCAGGUGGUUGAGUAUGCAUCCCCAUCCCCAUCCCCAGUCCCAGCCACACACGAUAACAACCGUAGUUAUCCUAUCCAGGUGUUCAAGGAAGCAGUGGAAGAGUUCAAUGCCAACUAUUCUAAAAUUAUGGCACAGAAGAUGCACAGAUUCCCUCCAAGCCUGGUAGAUGUCGAUAUACGGUACAGGGAGCCGGUGACUGUGGCCAUCGGCCCUAUCCACCAUGCUCGUCUCUCGUAUGUCGAGGGCGGUCUCUCGGAGGCGGAGAGCGUGAAGCAUGUGGCGGCCGACCAAUGCAUCGCGCACUCGAGCCGCUCACUCGAGGAGAUGUACACUAAGGUCUCCUCAGUGUCAGGCUUGGCCCGCAGACUCUACCACCCUAGUGAUGUGGUGAAAUUCGGCCACCGCGACGAUUUUGUGCCGAUGAUGUUCUUUGAUGCUUGCUUCUUGGUGCAGUUCAUGCGUUGGCAUUAUCUCCCCGACAAAGGCAUGCACCACGCCCUGAACAGCUAUUUCUACGCCAACCGCGAGCGCAUCCGCACCGACAUCAUGAUGCUUGAGAACCAGAUCCCUUGGGUCGUGGUCAAAACCAUCUUAGACUUCAUGCCGCCAGCGCCCUUGGACUGGAGCUGUCCCUGGGAGGCGUUCGUCAAGGCGAUGAGAAGGGGCCUGAAAAACAAAAUCGGUCGUGACGACAACAUCGACGUACUUCCCGGCCAUCACCCGCCGCAUGUCCUCGGGCUCGUCUGGCACUACAUCGUGGGAAAUAAGAACCAAGACCCCCUCCCUCCCAACGACGAUGACGAUGAAGACCCCAUCCCCCCCAACGACGACGACGACGAUGAAGACCCCAUCCCCCCCAACGACAACAACAACGACAACGACAACGACAACAACAACGACAAUACCAACAACAAGCCCAUGGCAAUUUCUAUCACCGUUGACGAGCUUGCCGACAUCGGUAUCACUCUGCUACCCAAGGAAAAUGCAGGGCUAGUGGAGAUGCAGAUCGAAAAGAGAACUUGGUGCUUCUUCAAGGUCGCCAAACUCUUCGUGGGGCCCCUGUACCUGACCGAGGCAAAUGCGACAUGGCUCGUCAACAUGGCGGCCUUCGAGUCAUGCAAGACCCCAAAUUUCCUCCAUCCGAGUGUUCUUCCAAGCGAGUCUGCUGUCUGCUCCUACCUCCACCUCUUCGCCAUGCUGCUGGACCGGAAAGAGCACGUGCAUAACCUGCAAAAAAAAAAAGUCAUCGAAGGAGGAGGACUCACCAGCAAGGAGGCGCUUGAUUUCUUCACUUCCAUUGGCAAGAACAUGCGCAUCGGAUCAUUCUACGUCGACAUAAUAGUAGAUAUCCAUUACUACGACCUCCAAAAGUCAGAUUUGGCCAGGUUUAUCCACUACCUUGGGAGGAACAAGACUAAACUCGCGGGCCUGCUCUCCAUCAUUGCUGCAGUGGCCGGCAUAUUGUCGUCGCUCCAAGCUCUCAAGCCAAGCUAG